RNAcentral lists this ribosomal RNA (497 nucleotides) under uncultured bacterium. Its description in RNAcentral is "partial 16S ribosomal RNA". It matches the Rfam family "Bacterial small subunit ribosomal RNA", at positions 28 to 507 of the family's 1533-position model. The record is from RNAcentral.
GAUGAACGCUGGCGGCGUGCCUAAUACAUGCAAGUCGAGCGAACGGACGAGAAGCUUGCUUCUCUGAUGUUAGCGGCGGACGGGUGAGUAACACGUGUAUAACCUACCUAUAAGACUGGGAUAACUUCGGGAAACCGUAUCUAAUACCGGAUAAUAUUUUGAACCGCAUUGUUCAAAAGUGAAAGACGGUCUUGCUGUCACUUAUAGAUGGAUCCGCGCUGCAUUAGCUAGUUGGUAAGGUAACGGCUUACCAAGGCAACGAUGCAUAGCCGACCUGAGAGGGUGAUCGGCCACACUGGAACUGAGACACGGUCCAGACUCCUACGGGAGGCAGCAGUAGGGAAUCUUCCGCAAUGGGCGAAAGCCUGACGGAGCAACGCCGCGUGAGUGAUGAAGGUCUUCGGAUCGUAAAACUCUGUUAUUAGGGAAGAACAUAUGUGUAAGUAACUGUGCACAUCUUGACGGUACCUAAUCAGAAAGCCACGGCUAACUACGUG